This 451-nucleotide ribosomal RNA is filed under the name uncultured bacterium. RNAcentral's name for it is "partial 16S ribosomal RNA". It matches the Rfam family "Bacterial small subunit ribosomal RNA", at positions 29 to 523 of the family's 1533-position model. The record is from RNAcentral.
AACGAACGCUGGCGGCAGGCUUAACACAUGCAAGUCGAACGCCUGUAGCAAUACAGGAGUGGCAGACGGGUGAGUAACACGUGGGAACGUGCCCAAAGGUACGGAACAACUCCGGGAAACUGGAGCUAAUACCGUAUGUGCCCGAAAGGGGAAAGAUUUAUCGCCUUUGGAUCGGCCCGCGUCUGAUUAGCUAGUUGGGGGGGUAAUGGCCUACCAAGGCGACGAUCAGUAGCUGGUCUGAGAGGAUGGCCAGCCACACUGGGACUGAGACACGGCCCAGACUCCUACGGGAGGCAGCAGUGGGGAAUAUUGGACAAUGGGCGCAAGCCUGAUCCAGCCAUGCCGCGUGAGUGAUGAAGGCCUUAGGGUUGUAAAGCUCUUUCGCCAGGGACGAUAAUGACGGUACCUGGAUAAGAAGCCCCGGCUAACUUCGUGCCAGCCGCCGCCGUAA